CCUAUAUUAGAUUAGUUAGUUGGUGAGGUAAAGGCUUACCAAGACAAUGAUCUAUAGCUGAUCUGAGAGGAUGAUCAGCCACACUGGAACUGAGAUACGGUCCAGACUCCUACGGGAGGCAGCAGUGGGGAAUAUUGGACAAUGGGCGAAAGCCUGGAUCCAGCCAUGCCGCAUGAGUGAAGAAGGCCUUCGGGUUGUAAAGCUCUUUUAGUGAGGAAGAUAAUGACGGUACUCACAGAAGAAGUCCUGGCUAACUCCGUGCCAGCAGCCGCGGUAAUACGGAGAGGGCUAGCGUUAUUCGGAAUCAUUGGGCGUAAAGGGCGCGUAGGCGGGUUAGUAAGUUAAAAGUGAAAUCCCAAGGCUCAACCUUGGAACUGCUUUUAAAACUGCUAGUCUAGAGAUUGAAAGAGGAUAGAGGAAUUCCUAGUGUAGAGGUGAAAUUCGUAAAUAUUAGGAGGAAUACCAGUGGCGAAGGCGUCUAUCUGGUUCAAAUCUGACGCUGAGGCGCGAAGGCGUGGGGAGCAAACAGGAUUAGAUACCCUGGUAGUCCACGCUGUAAACGAUGAAUGUUAAAUAUGGGAAGUUUACUUUCUGUAUUAUAGCUAACGCGUUAAACAUUCCGCCUGGGGACUACGGUCGCAAGAUUAAAACUCAAAGGAAUUGACGGGGACCCGCACAAGCGGUGGAGCAUGUGGUUUAAUUCGAUGCAACGCGAAAAACCUUACCACUCCUUGACA
RNAcentral lists this ribosomal RNA (737 nucleotides) under uncultured bacterium. RNAcentral's name for it is "bacterial SSU rRNA". It matches the Rfam family "Bacterial small subunit ribosomal RNA", at positions 230 to 986 of the family's 1533-position model. The record is from RNAcentral.